UAGGACAGAGGUGGAAGUGUGGUAACACAUGGAGCUGACUGUUACUAAUAGGUCGAGGGCAUAACCAAG
Molecule: ribosomal RNA, 69 nt
Filed under: Dorea formicigenerans
Lineage: Bacteria; Bacillati; Bacillota; Clostridia; Lachnospirales; Lachnospiraceae
Description: partial 23S ribosomal RNA
Source: RNAcentral